Molecule: ribosomal RNA, 429 nt
Filed under: Gemmatimonadota bacterium
Lineage: Bacteria; Pseudomonadati; Gemmatimonadota
Description: Gemmatimonadetes bacterium partial 16S ribosomal RNA
Rfam family: Bacterial small subunit ribosomal RNA
Source: RNAcentral
UAGGGAAUCUUCGGCAAUGGACGAAAGUCUGACCGAGCAACGCCGCGUGAGUGAAGAAGGUUUUCGGAUCGUAAAACUCUGUUGUUAGAGAAGAACAAGGACGUUAGUAACUGAACGUCCCCUGACGGUAUCUAACCAGAAAGCCACGGCUAACUACGUGCCAGCAGCCGCGGUAAUACGUAGGUGGCAAGCGUUGUCCGGAUUUAUUGGGCGUAAAGCGAGCGCAGGCGGUUUCUUAAGUCUGAUGUGAAAGCCCCCGGCUCAACCGGGGAGGGUCAUUGGAAACUGGGAGACUUGAGUGCAGAAGAGGGGAGUGGAAUUCCAUGUGUAGCGGUGAAGUGCGUAGAUAUAUGGAGGAACACCAGUGGCGAAGGCGGCUCUCUGGUCUGUAACUGACGCUGAGGCUCGAAAGCGUGGGGAGCAAACAGG